RNAcentral lists this ribosomal RNA (433 nucleotides) under uncultured bacterium. RNAcentral's name for it is "partial 16S ribosomal RNA". It matches the Rfam family "Bacterial small subunit ribosomal RNA", at positions 28 to 507 of the family's 1533-position model. The record is from RNAcentral.
GACGAACGCUGGCGGCAUGCCUAACACAUGCAAGUCGAACGAGAACUUCGGGUCUUGGGGCGCACGGGUAGGUAACGCGUGGUAAGCAGCACUUGGGUUAGGAAUAAUUGACCGAAAGAGGUGCUCAUACCGGUUAGUGUCUUAGGGGCAACGAUUUAUCGCCUUGGGGUGGGCCCGGGUUAGAUUCGCUGGUUGGUAGGGUAAAAGCCUACCAAGGCCACGAUGCAUAGCUGGUCUGAUAGGAUGAUCAGCUACACUGGGACUGCGACACGGCCCAGACGCCUACGGGAGGCAGCAGUGGGGAAUAUUGGACAAUGGGCGAAAGUCUAAUCCAGCCACGCCGCGUGAGUGAUGAAGGGCUUAGUGUUGUAAAGCUCUUUUACCCGGGACGUUAAUGACAGUACCGGGAGAAUAAGCACCGGCUAACUCCGUG